CCUACGGGUGGCAGCAGUGAGGAAUAUUGGUCAAUGGACGAGAGUCUGAACCAGCCAAGUAGCGUGAAGGAUGACUGCCCUAUGGGUUGUAAACUUCUUUUAUAUGGGAAUAAAACGUUCCACGUGUGGGAUUUUGUAUGUACCAUAUGAAUAAGGAUCGGCUAACUCCGUGCCAGCAGCCGCGGUAAUACGGAGGAUCCGAGCGUUAUCCGGAUUUAUUGGGUUUAAAGGGAGCGUAGGUGGAUUGUUAAGUCAGUUGUGAAAGUUUGCGGCUCAACCGUAACAUUGCAGUUGAAACUGGCAGUCUUGAGUACACUAGAGGUGGGCGGAAUUCGUGGUGUAGCGGUGAAAUGCUUAGAUAUCACGAAGAACUCCGAUUGCGAAGGCAGUUCACUGUACUGCAACUGACACUGAGGCUCGAAAGUGUGGGUAUCAAACAGGAUUAGAUACCCCAGUAGUC
This 460-nucleotide ribosomal RNA is filed under the name uncultured bacterium. RNAcentral's name for it is "partial 16S ribosomal RNA". It matches the Rfam family "Bacterial small subunit ribosomal RNA", at positions 338 to 795 of the family's 1533-position model. The record is from RNAcentral.